Long non-coding RNA from Ictalurus punctatus (channel catfish), 714 nucleotides. The record is from Ensembl. Lineage: Eukaryota; Metazoa; Chordata; Actinopteri; Siluriformes; Ictaluridae.
GCAUCUUUUGUGCAGCUUUGCAUAUCCAAACAUGCAAGGAUCAAUUAAUUACAAUACUCUUUGUAAGCAUAUUAUUUAAUUAUAUUUCAUACAAAAUUCCCUCACCUCAUCAAAGUACUUUUUGUUUGAGAUUGUAGUAGAUGUAAAGGAGGAGGGGAAUUUAUAUGUACAUCAGGUUUUUCGAAAAGAAACAAUUCUGCAUAGGAUCACUCCUAGCUCCUCUGGAAGCUUCCUCAUUCCUCGCCUCCUCAUGGUGCAAUUAGAGAAUUGAUUUGUCCUUCAAGAUGGCUGACUUUGAUCGAUUUCUGGGUCACUGGCUGGAGGACCCGAGGAGCGCAAAAACGAGGAAGCAUCAAUAUGAUUAUUGAGAAGCACCCCAGGAAAUUCAGAUGAUGCAACUUCCUGUUGAACAUGUGACUUGAGGAAUCUUUAAAAUAUUUUACAGGUGUGAACCUGUUCAGAAAACUACUUCAAUUGGCAAAAUUGUUUUGCACGGUCUUACACAGUGACAUUUGUUGGUAAAUGAGACCUUUUAGCCAUUCUUGUUUGAAAUCUUGACCCAAAUCUGCAGCAAUUUUGAAAAAUGGCAAGCUCCACAGAAUAUUGUGGAGUUUGUUAGUUUCUACAAACACAAAAAUCUGGAGGAACCAAAUAACCACUCUUUACAACCAUGGUUCUUGAACAAAUUAAUUACACAAAAUGUGUCACCUGGCU